RNAcentral lists this ribosomal RNA (447 nucleotides) under uncultured bacterium. RNAcentral's name for it is "bacterial SSU rRNA". It matches the Rfam family "Bacterial small subunit ribosomal RNA", at positions 329 to 792 of the family's 1533-position model. The record is from RNAcentral.
UGCCAGACUCCUACGGGAGGCAGCAGUGGGGAAUAUUGCACAAUGGGCGAAAGCCUGAUGCAGCAACGCCGCGUGAAGGAAGACGGUUUUCGGAUUGUAAACUUCUGUUCUUAGUGAAGAAUAAUGACGGUAACUAAGGAGCAAGCCACGGCUAACUACGUGCCAGCAGCCGCGGUAAUACGUAGGUGGCAAGCGUUGUCCGGAAUUACUGGGUGUAAAGGGAGCGUAGACGGCGAAGAAAGUCUGAAGUGAAAGCCCGCGGCUCAACCGCGGAAUGGCUUUGGAAACUUUUUUGCUGGAGUACCGGAGAGGUAAGCGGAAUUCCUAGUGUAGCGGUGAAAUGCGUAGAUAUUAGGAGGAACACCAGUGGCGAAGGCGGCUUACUGGACGGUAACUGACGUUGAGGCUCGAAAGCGUGGGGAGCAAACAGGAUUAGAUACCCCAGUA